Molecule: ribosomal RNA, 450 nt
Filed under: uncultured Lentisphaeraceae bacterium
Lineage: Bacteria; Pseudomonadati; Lentisphaerota; Lentisphaeria; Lentisphaerales; Lentisphaeraceae
Description: bacterial SSU rRNA
Rfam family: Bacterial small subunit ribosomal RNA
Source: RNAcentral
AAUGAACGCUGGCGGCAUGGAUUAGGCAUGCAAGUCGAACGCUAACUUCGGUUAGAGUGGCGAAAGGGUGAGUAACGCGUGAGCAACUUGCCCCCAAGUUUGGGAUAACUGUUGGAAACGACAGCUAAUACCGGAUGUGAUAAUUUGAUAGCAUUUUUAAAUUAUUAAAGGUUUACUGCUUGGGGAUAGGCUCGCGUCCCAUUAUGCUAGUUGGUAAGGUAACGGCUUACCAAGGCUAUGACGGGUAGGUGGUCUGAGAGGAUGGUCACCCACACUGGGACUGAGACACUGCCCAGACUCCUGCGGGAGGCUGCAGUCGAGAAUCUUCCGCAAUGCGCGCAAGCGUGACGGAGCAAUGCCGCGUGAGGGAUGAAGGCUUUCGGGUCGUAAACCUCUGUCAGAAGGGAAAAACAAUGAUUGUACCUUCAGAGGAAGCCACGGCUAACUACG